This 467-nucleotide ribosomal RNA is filed under the name uncultured Pelotomaculum sp. RNAcentral's name for it is "bacterial SSU rRNA". It matches the Rfam family "Bacterial small subunit ribosomal RNA", at positions 916 to 1381 of the family's 1533-position model. The record is from RNAcentral. Lineage: Bacteria; Bacillati; Bacillota; Clostridia; Eubacteriales; Desulfotomaculaceae.
ACGGGGCCGGCACAAGCAGUGGAGUAUGUGGUUUAAUUCGAAGCAACGCGAAGAACCUUACCAGGGCUUGACAUCCCUUGAAGCAGCUAGAGAUAGCUGUGCCUUCGGGACAAGGAGACAGGUGGUGCAUGGUUGUCGUCAGCUCGUGUCGUGAGAUGUUGGGUUAAGUCCCGCAACGAGCGCAACCCCUACGUUUAGUUGCUAACGCGUGAAGGCGAGCACUCUAGACGAACUGCCGUUGACAAAACGGAGGAAGGUGGGGAUGACGUCAAAUCAUCAUGCCCCUUAUGUUCUGGGCUACACACGUGCUACAAUGGCCGGUACAGACGGACGCAAAGCCGCGAGGUGGAGCAAAUCCUAAAAAAGCCGGUCUCAGUUCGGAUUGCAGGCUGCAAUUCGCCUGCAUGAAGUCGGAAUCGCUAGUAAUCGCAGGUCAGCAUACUGCGGUGAAUACGUUCCCGGGCCUU